Molecule: transfer RNA, 72 nt
Filed under: Camelus bactrianus (Bactrian camel)
Lineage: Eukaryota; Metazoa; Chordata; Mammalia; Artiodactyla; Camelidae
Also listed under: 2 other names
Rfam family: tRNA
About the family: Transfer RNA (tRNA) molecules are approximately 80 nucleotides in length. Their secondary structure includes four short double-helical elements and three loops (D, anti-codon, and T loops).
Source: Rfam by way of RNAcentral
GAGGGUAUAGCUCAGUGGUACAGUGCAUGCUUAGCAUGCAUGAGGUGCUGGGUUCAAUCCCCAGUACCUCCU